UAACGCGUGAGGAACCUGCCUUUCAGAGGGGACAACAGUUGGAAACGACUGCUAAUACCGCAUAACACAUAGGUGUCGCAUGGCAUUUAUGGGGUCAAAGAUUUAUCGCUGAAAGAUGGCCUCGCGUCUGAUUAGCUAGUUGGUAGGGUAACGGCCUACCAAGGCGACGAUCAGUAGCCGGACUGAGAGGUUGGCCGGCCACAUUGGGACUGAGAUACGGCCCAGACUCCUACGGGAGGCAGCAG
This 245-nucleotide ribosomal RNA is filed under the name uncultured bacterium. RNAcentral's name for it is "partial 16S ribosomal RNA". It matches the Rfam family "Bacterial small subunit ribosomal RNA", at positions 111 to 354 of the family's 1533-position model. The record is from RNAcentral.